CCGGCAAGAAGUGUGGCGGCCCAGGGUGGUGCCAGGUCUUUUUGGAUCACCGAGCACGGUGCAGUUAACAGAUAUCGCUGUCCAAGGCCCAGGAGAUGAAGGUCCACCCAUGACGCGGCAGCUCGAGAUGAAAGCGAGUCCGGCAAGAAGUGUGGCGGUCCAGGGUAGUUCCAGGUCUUUUUGGAUCACCGAGCACGCCAGAUUGAGUUGCCCAGGAUGGAAGACCAUUGUCAGCAGGGAACCCGUCACAUAUUCCAUAAAUCCCAGCCUGGUGAGACAAGGAGCAUGAGCCCCCUGGGGCCAUUGGGCAUGCAGCCCUUGGGCGUACAGAUGGAAUACCCAUGGAGCCAGGUUGAGUGGCCCGAGAUGGAAGACUGUUGGCAACAGGUUACCUGUUGUGUAUUCCAUGACACCCAGCCUCUCGAGAUGAGUCUCACGAAUCCCCAGAGGCAACUGGACAAGUGGCCCUUGAGUGUACAGAUGGAACAACCAUGGCGCCAGUGGCCUUGAGUGACCUGGGAUGGAAGACUAUUUGCAACAGAGAACCCAUUACAUAUUCCAUGACAACUGUCCUGGCAAGACGAGGCAUGCAAGCCCCCAGGGACUUCUGGGCAGUUGGCCCUUUGAUGUACAGGUGGAUCACCUAUGGCGAGGAAACCAUAAUCUUUACACAAGAGUCAGAACAAGAGUCCUCGCCUAGGUUGGUCUUCUAUCUCAUGUUCUACUGGAGAAAAAGGAUACAGAACUGGAAGUGAUGUUAAAGAGAAGGGAUAUUUUGCUGCUUGAAUUCCACUGCCACCCCAAAUAAGUGCUGUUUUCAUCACUUGUACGAGCUCCUUUCUCUGGGAAAAUUCACAGCAAUGCUUUCUAGAGACUGACAUGUUCCAAAAACUAGGUUUCAUAUGGAUGAGCUUAUUCCUUCCCCUUGAGAUGAGACAUAAAGAAGAGUGUUGGGAAUAAUUCUGCCUCCAUCCUCAAAGGCCUGUGUGAAUUCUCACAGAGAAGAUGACUUCCUGGGAUGAAUGAUACCAGUAAACGCCUGAAGGAAGACUCUUCAGACAGAGCCCUUUUGCCUCCCUCUUGUCUGAGGGCUGCCCUCUGAAGGUGAUGACCACAGAGACAAGGUGGAUUUGUUACUGUAGGUGCCAUUACUUCUGCCACCAGCUUCUCCAAUACAGUGACACAGUCUUCUUUGUGCUUGGAAACUCUUCUCUUUCCUAUGUUGCAGUGGAUACCUCCUGCAGAUAAGAAAUGGUUAACUGAGAAAUGCUCAUGUUGGGAUAUCAUCGAUGAGACUUUAAUUUGGGCAUGGUGACUGUUUCCCUUGCUUCCACUUGACUCAAUCCCAGGAGCCUCAGUAGAGGAAAUUAUAUUGCACAAGAAACUCAAAGUGAUGGAAUUGCUCAGUACUCCCAUAAAUAUACAUUUAUAAUUUUCAUUUGCCAUGUAGUAAAUUUAAAAAAUAAGAUCUAUUAAUUUUUUUUUCAAAAAUUUUCAAAGCAUAUUUAAACAUCUAAUAUAUAAAUUAAGUGCCCUUUUCUCUCCUAAUCCUAUCUCCAAGUUUUCCUCUAUUAAGGGAGUUGUGUGCGUUCUUUAAGCAGAUAGAUGCGCACACACAGACACAAGCUAUUUUAGGGGGUUCUGGAAGUAGAGCUAUAUUGUACACAUUAUUCUGCAAAUUUGCUUUCAUUUAACAGUUUUUUCAAUGCCCUUUUUUUCUGUUUCAGUAAUACAUAUCUGUGUCAUCUGUUGAAUGACUGCAUGAUUGUUUUGUACAUGAAAUAUAAUUAAAUGUUUCAAACAUUUCUUAUUCAUAGAUAUUUAUGUUAGUACCAAAUUUCUGUGCAAUGAACCUCCCUAUAUAUCAAUAAUUUGCAUUUGUAUAUUAUAUCAUAAUAAAUUACUUAACAGUUAAAAUACUGGGAUUAAGUAUAUGCAUAUUUCAAAUUUUGAAAAUGACCACAAGAUUUCCUUAAAUACAUGGUAACAACUUGAUCCUCAAAUGACAAUGGAUGAGAUUGCCAACUUUCCCACAAUCUCACAGAUAAUGAAUUUUAUGAAUAUUUGAAAUCUUUGCCAGUGUGAUAGCCCAAACUAUUGUCUUAAAUUGUACUUCUUUUGUUUUUGAGUUUGAUCAUUUUUUCAUAUGUUUAUUAGCCAUCUGUAUUUUUUGUUUUCUUUUUAUGUCCAAUUUUGGGGCUGUGGGGAGGUUUUAGUCCUUCGCUGAUUUCAAAGAGCUCAUUUCUUAUUGGGGGAAUAAGCUUUGGAUUGUCAUGCAUUGCAGACACUUUUUACACACUUUUAAGCUUCAUUUUUGUUAUAAGAAUGUAUUUGAUUGUUACAUGUCCAGGUAUAACCAUGUUCGCUUCUAUGGCUUCUGAGUUCAUGUCAUUUUGGAAAGAUAUUUAUACUGAUCCCAUAGAACUCUUCACCUAUGUUAACUUCUAAUUCUUUUGUGUUUUUUUAAUUCGAGUUCUUAAAUCACAGAAACUUUUUAUUUGGAAUCUUAGAGUUGCCAAGUUAUCUGCCAUUACCUGCGAUUAUUUGCCAAUAAUUGCCCAUUUGUCUGUACUGCCAUCUUGCACAUGUGCUAUAGUCUCAUCUGUGACGGGCGCCAUUUCUGUUCUGUGGGUCUGUGUGUCUCUUCUUCUGCCUCCUGUCUCGUGUCUUCUCGUUAGAAGAAAUUACAGUUUAGACUGCAAUUUCAUCAACUUUUAAUAAAUUAAUUUAGCGGAGAAUUGGUUUUUAAUAAUAGUCUUCCUAUUCAAGGAUAAGGUAUGUCCUUCUUUUUAUUCAAUAAUUUUAAUUAUUGUUAAUAUUUUCACUUUGUGUCAGGAGUAUCUUCUUUCAGUUUAUUUUCUUACUUGAUAAUUUUUCUGUAUCUGAAAAGUUUUGUGUUGUUUUAGGGGUAAGUGGUCUCCUUCCUCUUUUUCAUGGAGUUUCCUUUUUUUUUUUUUUUUUUCAAAUUACAUACUAAAUCCUUUGAAAAUACUAAUAGUUGUGAUUCUUCUCUCCCAGAUUAUCUGGAUUUUAGUUAUGUUGAUAAAAUUUACUGACUGGUAGUUUCAGAGCACUUCAACAAUUGUGGAAAUAUCACCCACCCUUGAUUUAGUUAGGUUUUAAUGGACCUUUCUUGGUUUUACUAGCAUGUUGUUUCUGGUCUGUUACGCAAAAAGACUCUCAGAGACAGCUAUGAGCAAGCAAAGUUGAGUUUAUUAAAACUACAGCAGAAAGGGAAAACAGCACUUUGACAAGGUUUAGUAGUAUUUCAAAAGCAGGAAAUUAAGAUCGUGAGGGAUGGGAUGAUGGUUUAGGGUAGGAUUUUCAAGGCAGAAAACUUGUCUUGUUGUUUAGUCACUAAGUCACAUCUAACUCUUUUGCAACCCCAUAGCUCCUCUGUUCAUAGGAUUUCCCAGACAAGAAUACUGGAGUGGGUUGCCAUUUCCUUCUCCAGGGGAUAUUCCCGACCCAGGGAUUGAAUCCGCAUCUCCUGCAUUGGCAGGUGGUUUUCUUUACCACUAAGUCACCAGGGAAGCAAGGAACUGGUUAGGAGUGGGCAAAAUUUAUCCUGUGAGAGUUUAAACUUGGUGAAAGAGUAGGAUGAAAACAUUGAUUGAAUUUAUAUAAUCAAAUUUUUGUCUGAUGAAUGAGCUAUUUCCCUAUGUGAAUAGCAUGUUAUCAAUGAUAGAAGAACUGUACGCAUAGAUGAACAAACUGAGUGCAUUUGUUGGUUUACAGUUCUGUCUUGUUUAUAAGACCCUACUGGGGGUGGUAUCAGGUCUUAGUUCCAAUAGGUAAGUUAUUUUGAUGUAAAUGGUCUGUCAUCAAAAUGCUAACUUUAAAUUUGAGAUUCUUAUAUAUUAUAUUAGGUGAACUCUCUUACCUUUUAUGUAUUUCUUAAGGAAUUUUAAUCAAAACCAAGUGGUGGAUGUAACCAAAUGCUUUUUGCAUAAACAAUUAAACUCCUUAAACUUU
Molecule: long non-coding RNA, 3975 nt
Organism: Cervus elaphus (red deer)
Lineage: Eukaryota; Metazoa; Chordata; Mammalia; Artiodactyla; Cervidae
Exons: 10
Source: RefSeq, a predicted model, not a curated record